Molecule: microRNA precursor, 79 nt
Filed under: Podarcis lilfordi (Lilford's wall lizard)
Lineage: Eukaryota; Metazoa; Chordata; Lepidosauria; Squamata; Lacertidae
Source: RNAcentral
CAUGUGCAAAGGUGUGUGUGAGUGUGUGCAUGUGUGCACACUCAUAUCACACACACACACACACACACACACACACACA